GAUGAACGCUGGCGGCGUGCCUAAUACAUGCAAGUCGAGCGAAUGGAUUAAGAGCUUGCUCUUAUGAAGUUAGCGGCGGACGGGUGAGUAACACGUGGGUAACCUGCCCAUAAGACUGGGAUAACUCCGGGAAACCGGGGCUAAUACCGGAUAACAUUUUGAACCGCAUGGUUCGAAAUUGAAAGGCGGCUUCGGCUGUCACUUAUGGAUGGACCCGCGUCGCAUUAGCUAGUUGGUGGGGUAACGGCUCACCAAGGCAACGAUGCGUAGCCGACCUGGGAGGGUGAUCGGCCACACUGGGACUGAGAACCGGCCCAGACUCCUACGGGAGGCAGCAGUAGGGAAUCUUCCGAAAUGGACGAAAGUCUGACGGAGCAACGCCGCGUGAGUGAUGAAGGCUUUCGGGUCGUAAAACUCUGUUGUUAGGGAAGAACAAGUGCUAGUUGAAUAAGCUGGCACCUUGACGGUACCUAACCAGAAAGCCACGGCUAACUACGUGCCAGCCGCCGCGGUAA
Molecule: ribosomal RNA, 515 nt
Filed under: uncultured bacterium
Lineage: Bacteria
Description: partial 16S ribosomal RNA
Rfam family: Bacterial small subunit ribosomal RNA
Source: RNAcentral